Molecule: transfer RNA, 73 nt
Filed under: Scleropages formosus (Asian bonytongue)
Lineage: Eukaryota; Metazoa; Chordata; Actinopteri; Osteoglossiformes; Osteoglossidae
Description: tRNA-Gln
Source: RNAcentral
GGCUGGUGGCGUCGUGGUUGGCGUGGCUGACUUUGGCUCCGCAGGUUGCUGGUUUGAUCCCUGCGUCUAGCUG